Molecule: ribosomal RNA, 253 nt
Filed under: uncultured bacterium
Lineage: Bacteria
Description: partial 16S ribosomal RNA
Rfam family: Bacterial small subunit ribosomal RNA
Source: RNAcentral
UACAGAGGGUGCAAGCGUUGCUCGGAUUUACUGGGCGUAAAGCGUACGCAGACGGCCACGCAGGUCGGGUGUGAAAGCCCGGGGCUCAACCCCGGAACGGCAUUCGAAACCAUGUGGCUAGAGGAUGGGAGAGGAGAGCGGAAUUCCCGGUGUAGAGGUGAAAUUCGUAGAUAUCGGGAGGAACACCAGUGGCGAAAGCGGCUCUCUGGCCCACACCUGACGUUCAGGUACGAAAGCGUGGGGAGCAAACAGG